This 2283-nucleotide long non-coding RNA is filed under the name Macaca fascicularis (crab-eating macaque). RNAcentral's name for it is "lncRNA (ENSMFAG00000061838.1)". The record is from RNAcentral. Lineage: Eukaryota; Metazoa; Chordata; Mammalia; Primates; Cercopithecidae.
CCCUGUCACCCUUGCCUGUGGGGACAGUGGAACAAGGAAAGGAACAGAAGCUCCCUCAAGCUGUGUUGUCAGUUCUGCAGAGAAGUUGGGCAGGAAGGGACAGACCAUGUUCCCCACAAGGAACUCCUUCAUCAGACUGGGGGCUUCAUGGCAUCAGAAACAGUGCCUCCCCCGUCUGACUAGGUGCUCCCUAGGUGCAGGGGCUGUGUUUAACUCAUCUAUUCCCUAUAUCCCCAAUGUCUAACACCUCAGUGCAAAACUUAGAGACACAGAAAUGGAUAAAACACGAUCCCUGCCAUCUAAUAGGGAAGCAAAUUCAUGUAAAAGUCCCCACCAAGCAGUGCAGUCCUUGUUGUGCUGGUGGGCCCAGGUUCAGUCCCAGGCCUGCCACCCCCACUCCUGUGUGACCUUGGCAAAUCACUUCACCUUGGGUGACCAACUCAUUUCAUCUUUCCUAUCAUCCUCCUACUGUCCUGAGAAAGUACCAUCUCCAAGGAACCCCCUUAUUUCCAGGAAAAGUGGGACACUUGUGCCUCCCACUGAGCCUCCUUAUGCCUCAGUUUCCUCAAAUAUGAAGUAGAAAUGUUAAUAGCGGUAUCUGCCUUAUAUGGAAAGCUGUUGUGUGGAUGAAAUGAGUUAAUGUAAAUCAAGAACUAGUGUCUGGCACAGUGCAAGUUCUAUACGAUUUGUCUUCUCCAUUUGAAUUCCCCAGAAGCAGAUCCCGGGACAGGAUCUGGCUGCAAAUAGUUUAUUUGGGAAGUGAUUCCAAGAAGCAUGGAAUUAAAACAAGAGAAGACAAAGGAAGCAAUGCAGACAGCAUUAAUGAGCAGGUGACUGCUGUGGGCAGGUGCGCUCCUUACCACUGGAGACCUCUGCAAGCCUGCAUAGAGCAUGGCUUAUGGUUGUCCGCUCUGAGGGGUAGAAAGGCUGGGGCUUAUAUUCCCCAAAUCCCAUUCCUCAUCACUUGGAGUAGGAUGGUGUUAACUCCCCAGCAUUUGUGUAUUGGAAACCUGCCACGUACAUGAGCAUGGUGGGUGCAGAGCAGGCAGGACACUGUCAGCAUCUGGUACAUAUGUGUCAACCAUUCCUGUGACAUACAGGAGGCAUGAGGGCAGACAGGAACACCCACUCAGCUAUGGAAGAGGGAAGCCACGGCAGGAGGAGGUUACAUCUGGGUGAGCUUUGAAGUAUGUGUAGGAGUUUUUCAUGCAGAGGAGAAGGCAGGCCUUGUAAUGGUGGGUGCACAAUAAAUGUUUAAAUGAAUGCCAAGUAAGUUGAGAGUGAUUCAAAUGUUCAAAUGCUUGAGCUAGUGGGGCUGACUCAGUGCUGGAGAGCCAUAGGUGGUCAGAAGGGGAGGUGAUACAGUCAGCCUGGAGGCAUCAGGAAAUGCUGGAUCAAGGUAUGAGGACCUGAACUGGUCCCUGAUCAGCAGGUAGAGAGGAGGGAGGGUAGGCCAGGUAGAAGAACCUCAAGAGCUAGGCAGUGGAGUUGGAAUGAGGCGGGACAGAAGGAGUGCCAAAGACAGGGAAGAGAAGGGAAGGAAAGGGAAAGGGAAAUGGAAAAGAAAGGAAGAAAGAGAAGGAAACAAUUGAACUUGGGGAAGAAGAAGAGACACAGAACACUCCGUCACAGGGGUAGAAGGAGAACCACGGAGUCUGGCAUCACACAGGUCAAAUGAAGAGAGACCAAUGACAUGGUGGCAUUGCGUUCUCAAGUCCUGAGUCCUACCCAAAGUGGAGGCCAAAGCCAUCUGGAACACUUUGAGGACAGGUGAGCCACCAGGAGACCACUGUGAGCCCAAGAACAUGAGCUUCGUGGGAAGAAGUCUGCAGGGAGCCUGGGAGUAAGAGUGAGCUGAGGGCAAGGCACUGUCCGCAAGCCAGAAGGGAGGAGGUUUCCAGCGGUUAUUACCGGAGCUGCACAAAUAUUGUUGUUUUGACUGGUAGUGGAGAUUAUUUUAUUUUUUUCCCCAGGAACCACAAGUGUGAUGUGUGGGCUCGUUUUAGAACACGACACCACAGGGAGAGCGACAACCUCUGACCUCGCCUUCCCCACUUCUCCUGGUGAGAUGCUUGCAUGCACACACACACACACACACACACACACACAGGCACACACAAGUCACUAAAAAGUAACCCAAACCACAAAUGUUUGAUCCACCAAUGCCAAAGCUCUGCUGGAAAUUCCUAACUUCUUGUGAUGGUAAGAAUACCACUCCCCGACUUUUUAAAAUAUGUAAAGCAAUUACAACAGUACCUGGAAUGUAAAAAAAAAAACAAAAAA